Molecule: long non-coding RNA, 5837 nt
Filed under: Fragaria vesca (wild strawberry)
Lineage: Eukaryota; Viridiplantae; Streptophyta; Magnoliopsida; Rosales; Rosaceae
Description: long non-coding RNA (FVES_LNC003855)
Source: RNAcentral
AUUGCUUGCCAUUAAAGCUCAAAUACACCAAGAUCCUAAUCAGCCGGUCAUGAGCUCCUGGAAUGAGUCCACUCAUUUUUGCAUGUGGUAUGGUGUCACCUGCAGCCGACGCCAUCUUCAGAGGGUCACUAAGCUGAACCUAACUUCCCUGAAGUUAUCCGGGUCCAUAUCUCCGCACAUAGGAAACCUGAGCUUCCUGAGGGAGUUACGCCUCUAUGAGAAUAGCCUCACCAACAUAAUACCUCCAGAAAUUGGGUACUUGCGGAGGUUGCAGAUAUUACAUCUAGGAAACAACUCACUAAGCGGUCCUAUUCCUGUCAAUAUCUCCAAUUGCUUCAACCUCAGAGCCCUCGCUGUUUAUAACAACAAGCUGGAAGGUAACAUUCCUCCACAACUUGGUUCUUUGUCUAAGCUUGAGUAUCUUGGUUUGCAAUUUAAUAAAUUAACAGGAGAGAUGCCUCCUUCCCUGGGUAAUCUUUCUAGUCUUGACUCACUUGUUGCUAAUGGGAAUAACUUGGUGGGCAGUAUUCCUAGUUCUCUAGGCCAACUGAAAAAAUUAUCAGAUUUUUUAGUAGAGUCAAAUAGGUUGUCUGGUACCGUCCCUCCCUCCAUCUAUAACAUCUCCAGUCUUCUUACUUUUUCCAUAAGAGACAACCAAAUUCAAGGGAGCAUGCCCCCAUCCUUGUUCAGACCCCUUUCGAAUCUCCAAAUUUUUAGCAUUUUCGGAAAUCAGUUUACUGGACCUCUUCCUCUCUCAAUAAGCAAUGCUACUAAUCUAGUGAAAUUUCUAGUUGAUGAUAACAAACUGACAGGACAAGUUCCGAAUUUACAAAAGCUUCGUAACCUUGGGAGUUUCGACAUUUAUGGUAAUCAUCUUGGAAGUGGCAGUGAUGGGGACUUGAGUUUUUUAUCAGACUUGACCAAUGCCACGAAGUUGGAGUGGUUGCAAAUAGGAGUCAACAACUUCGGAGGGACGUUGCCUGCGUCAAUAUCUAAUCUCUCAACCCUUUCAUAUCUAAAUGUCGAAGGCAACCAAUUACAUGGAAGCAUCCCUGCAGGGAUAGGGGAUCUGGUCAACAUGAACGAAUUGCGUAUGUCUGGUAACAUGUUCACAUGUAACAUUCCCACCGACAUUGGGAAGCUUUCAGGUCUUGGGAGAUUAGAUCUUGUUAACAACAGAUUGUCAGGGAGCCUCCCAUCCUCUCUAGGAAAUCUGACAUCAUUACUUGAACUCUAUUUGAAAGGAAAUCAUUUUAAUGGCACCAUCCCCACAAGCCUUGGGGGAUGCCGUUCUUUGCUGCUGUUGGAUCUUUCUAGCAAUAAUCUUAGCGGCGACAUACCCCCACAAGUUAUUGGUAUUUCCUCCUUAUCAAGAUAUUUGAACUUGUCCGAGAAUCGUCUCAGUGGUUCCCUUCCCUUGGAGGUACGAAAGUUAAAAAAUCUAGGUAAGUUGGAUGUCUCUAAUAAUAUGUUAUCAGGAAAACUUCCUAGUGGCCUUGGUAGCUGUGAGAGUUUAGAAGUACUUCUCUUGCAAGGGAACUUCUUUGACGGCCCCAUUCCUUCAGCUUUGAGCUCCAUGAAAGGGAUUCAAGAGUUAGACCUUUCACACAACAAUCUCUCCGGUGAAAUUCCUGAAUUUCUGGCCGAGUUUAGAGGAUUGAAGCAACUUAACCUGUCUUUCAAUGACUUUUGGGGUGCAGUGCCAGUUAAAGGUGUCUUUAACAAUGCAAGUGCCAUUUCAGUUGUCGGAAACACAAGACUAUGCGGAGGCAUUUCUGAUCUCCACCUUCCAGAGUGCAAGUUUAAAGAAUCGAGGUGGUCUCGUAGCAAGAAACUAACAAUCUCAUUAGUCUCCGCAUUCACUGUUCUUGGAGUAGCUACGCUGCUGACGUUUCUUUUUCUUUGCUUCUUGAAAAAGAGAAGCAAAGAAACUCCAUCAAGCAUAUUGGCGAACUCUGUUUUACAAGUGUCGUAUAGUGCUCUCUUGAAAGCUACUGAUGGCUUCUCUGCAUCAAAUUUGAUUGGUGCUGGUAGUUUUGGUUCUGUAUACAAAGGAAUUCUUGGUGAAGAUGAAGAACAACUUGUUGCUGUGAAGGUUUUUAACAUGUUACGCCGGGGAGCUUCCAAGAGUUUCCUAGUUGAAUGUGAGACACUCAGAAAUAUCAGACACCGAAAUCUAGUCCCGAUUAUAACUACAUGUUCCAGUGUGGACUCUCAUGGUAAUGAUUUCAAGGCUUUGGUUUAUAAGUUCAUGGAGAAUGGGAGCUUAGAGGAGUGGCUGCAUCCAACUACUGAGACAGAAGACACACCAAAGAGUUUAAGUCUUGUUCAGAGGCUAGACAUUACCAUUGACGUUGCAUGUGCAGUGGAUUAUCUUCAUAAUCAUUGCGAAACACCAAUAGUUCAUUGCGAUCUCAAGCCGAGCAAUGUUCUUUUGGACCGCGACUUGACAGGACAUGUUGCUGAUUUUGGAUUAGCUAGAAUCCUCUCAAGACUAGUUGAUAACUUUUCAGCAAAUCAAUCAAGUUCCAUUGGAAUAAGAGGGACUGUUGGUUAUGCUGCUCCAGGUUAUUUUGUGCUAAUAUUUUUUUUUUGUAGUUUCAUCAAUGAGAGUUGUUUUUGUUAACAAUUGUGAUGUUUGAAAGCAGAGUAUGGAAUGGGAAGUGAGGUUUCAACAUAUGGAGAUGUCUACAGCUUCGGCAUUCUCUUGUUAGAGAUGUUUACAGGGAAGAGGCCUACUGACCACAUCUUCAUGGAUGGUUUGAACCUUCACAAGUGUACGAAGAUGGCCAUUGAGGAACGAGUUUCAGAGAUUGCAUAUUCAUCACUUGUUCAAGAAGGCAAUCUAAGGCAGAGCACCAAUGAUGCUCUUGAAGAAUGCUUGAGUUCAAUACUAGCAAUUGGAGUUGCAUGCUCUGUGGAAUCCCCAACAGACCGAAAGAUUAUCAAGGAUGCUGUGUCUGAACUAAAAAAGAUUCGAGCGACUCUUGUUGGAUAGAAACUUUGCUAUUAUUUUGUUAUGGCUUUCACUUCCUAUCAUGCUUUUAUGUGCUGCGUGCUUUAGUUUCACGUUUUGUUGCUGCUAUAUGUGCUAUAAAGUUAUGUUUAGUUCUCUAUUUCUCUAGUUGUAUCUUAAUUCCUAUACCGUUUCAAGUUUGGUUGUUUGCUUUUAUCUUCCUUUAGUUUUAGUUCAAUUUUAAAUUAAUAAUGCAAUAGGAAUAGCUGAUAUGCAGUCGAUCAGUUGAUAUGAGGCACUGAAUAAUGCCUAAAUCUGAAACAGCUAAUGAGCUACAAUAUCAGUGUGUGAGAGAUUUGUAAAGAGAGGAGUAAAAUGAAGUAUGUUUGCUCAAAAUGAUCAAGUUCAAGAAAGUCUGUUUCUUUUUCAUCCUUUCGAUAUACAAAUCUUUCACAAAAAUGAUGACAGAAUGAUACAGCAAUAUACCACAUUUCCAUGAAAAAGAAGAGAAAUUGUAUGUUUAAUUUACCAAGACUGUUUUGGUUCCAGCAGACUUAACUUCUUAGGUAGAUCAGUGCUUACACUCCUUACAGCUUCAGCAAAAUCCUGAUCCUCAAAAUAUCACCUCGGCUCCUCUUAGGCAUAUUGGUCAACGUCAUUGGUUUGUGGCCAUACUAGUUGCUCAUCCCCACACUGCAUGAUACAACAAACAAAUAGUGUGAGCUACAUCUCAAAACACUUCAAAAACAUAUAUUUGGAAAACUAGUAUAUCCAUAAUUCCAUAUGUAUCAAUAAUCAAACGAUUUUCUUAUAUAUAAAAAUAAGAAUAACAAUCAACAACAUAAAAGAUUGCACGUCACACAUCAAUAUUGUGAGUAACACUUAUAUGCUCAAUGAUAUACUUUGAUAUAACUAUCGAAUAUUUGUAAUUUUUUUCGAUGAAUUUGUAAUCCUAUGUCUCAUUAUUAUUCGACACCGACCCGAAAAAUGAUCCAGCAAGAACACGAAACUCGUACUAUUUGGGUUGGGCCUGAAGAAGUUACUGUUCACCGAUAUCUAUAUAAAUACACCAUCGUCCUAUUUUUACCGCACUCUUUUAGUUUUCGUCUUCAACCACAUCUCUCUCUUCUUCUUCGAUUUGAAAAUCCAUGGAGGCCAUCCAACCAAACCCUACCGAAACCCUAGAUCACCAACCCGCCUCCAACAAACCACAACCCCCCGGAUUCUCUAGUCUCCAACUACAAGGACCCGUCCCCGCCGCCAUCGCAAACCCUAGCCUCCCACGCCGCCUCCAAGAACGGCACUCCGGCCGACGCCAGCAAGGCGGUCGCUCUGUUGAUCUCUGUUGAUCUCGGCACACGUAAAGCGGCACGACCAACACGCAAAUUUACCAUCUUCUAUAAGUUAGUUUUGUGAGGCCUCGAAUGAAACUCACAAAUUUUCACAACCUCAUAACCGAUACAAAAUGGUGAAUGUGAAACUGACCCCAACAUACUUGCUCUCCCAUACACCAGCACUACUACUAGUAGUAGCAUUUGCUUUUGUUUGUUGCUGCAGCUCCAUGGCCUCAAGCACGGACAACAAUAAGUUGGAGCUUGGACGAGGAAACUAGACGGAUAGGCUCGCACUGCUCGCCAUUAAAGCUCAAAUACACCAAGAUCCAAACAGGCUGUUUUGGCCAUGAUCCUCAGCAGGGAGCAGAGAAGUAACUAGUGCUACCAAAAGUAAACUAGGGUUUCAGGGCAUGCCACUGCGCGGACGCGGGAUGUGAACUGUGCGCGUUCUUAACUUCUAACCAGGCGAAAGGGAGCUCCGGUGUCACCUUGCGGACGAGGAAUUACGAGCAAAACCUCUUAGUCACCUGUGAAUCGAUACUCACUGUUAGAGCGAGCAGAGCAACAAUUAGGAAAGAAAGGCGAGUCCAGUCGGGCUCUGAGAACUAAGGCGUGGUGCAAUUAGAACUUUAAGGUUUCGAGGAUGCUCGAGAGUUUGUAAGUAGUUUUUGUAUGAUUUGAUUGUAUGUUCUUAGACCAGAUCCUCAAACUCCCUUAUAUAGCGAUCCGCAAAUAGUUGGCAAAGACAUAAUCACAAACCCACUCGGACUUAGCAAUUAGAAUUCCACAAGGAUACAACCAGCUCGCGAACCGCGCUAUCCAUGCGACAUGUGUCCAGAACAGACUUCACUUAGGUCUCACUCACCGCCCCGCAUCAUCUUACUGUAGCGUUGUAUGCGAACUUCGAACACUAAGCGAUCUUAUCCCACGAGGUGCUACAGUCCCUUUCCAACUCUACCUCGCCAUGCACUACGGAAUCCUACGCGAACUGAAACGAGGAUCUCGCGAGGUAUCGAAGUCCUUGACAAAUUCCACCUCGCGCGCUGUCAGAGCGCGCCACCCUACAUGGGCUUCAUAUCUAAAAAAGGGCCACAGGUACUGGCCCAAAUGUUAUCCAAAACUUAUUGCGAGUCUUGGACCAAAAUCCCCGCUGGGCUCAAACACAGGCCUGUGAUGAGUUCGUGGAAUGAGUCCACUCAAUUUUGCAUGUGGUAUCGUGUCACUUGUAGCCGACGACAUCUUUAGAGGGUCACUAGGCUGAACCUAACUUCCCUGAAGUUAUCCGGGUCCAUAUCUCCUCACAUAGGAAGCCUGAGCUUCUUAAGGGAGUUAUGCCUCUAUAAUAAUAGCUUCACCAACAAAAUUCCUGCAGAAAUUGGGCACUUGCGGAGAUUGCAGAAAUUACGUCUAGGAAACAACUCACUAAGUGGUCCUAUUCCUGCCAAUAUCUCCAAUUGCUUCAACCUCAGAAUCUUCGAUGUUCAUAAGAACAUGCUAGUAGGUAACAUUCCUCCAGAACUUGGUUCCUUGUCUAAGCUUGAGUAUCU